GUUCGCUAGAGCAUUACACUUUUAGUUCACAUGGCAACCAUUUUUUUUUCUUUCUUAGCUUCAUUUAUAAAGAAUUUUAUGUCCAGAGAAGGAAAGGCGCUGCUUGACUCAUCCCACCUGUCUGACACGUCCACCUGUUCGCUGUGGCAAACUCCACUACAUCUUCUCUCUGUUAUGUUUGAUGAGAAGGAACCAAAGCUUGCUCAUCAGCUGAUGGGUUCAGAACGGGUUCAUCACAUGGCCCAAGUCUUCUGCAGACUGAUGGUGGUCAUGUGAUCAGCCAGGCUGAGGAGGAAGCUCUGGUGGAGUGUCGAGUGCGAUUCCUAACCUUCAUGGGAGUGGGACACAAUGUGCACACGUUCGGUUCCAUCAUGGACGCUGGCGGUCAGCACUUCGACUGUCACGUCUUCUGACAUGGGGGGGGGGGGUGUCGGAGGCAGUGCAGGCAGCGUAUGCUGCGGUACCAGAAGUGUUUAGUCGCUCGACCACUCUCCCAAAAAGCCUGCAACCUGGCCCCCCACAGCGACUCAGUGUCCCGUCGAGUGUCUGCCAGUGUGAAGCACAGCGUCCUCUCCCUCAUCGACAACCUCAAACAGAAGAGGCUGCCAGAGUAACAACCUCCCUGUCGCCAUGGUAACCAGGCACAAACGAAUGCUGGCACUGGCACAUGAAUGUCUGGCGCAUGUUUAUUAUUUGACUGAAGGAAAAAAAAGACUUGUUAUAUACGAGUCAAAUCUGAUGCAUGCUGGGAGGUCAACAGUUGGAAUCCAGUUUGAGGCAAACCUACUUCCAUUCUGAGAAGAGUUUAGCUGAUCAACAAACUCUCUGAUGACGCCUUGGAGAUAUGAGUGUGUGCAUGGACUGGUCAUAGUUUUGGUUAAAACUGAACUCUUGACUGAACGCAGAUGAAACACUAGAUGUCAUUGUGAAGGUCAAUAAAUGUGUCGUUACCCUCAUUCUUGAGGAAAAUUCAUGCGGUCAGUUGCCGAAUAUUGGCGGUUGAGACCACACGUUCAUUUUUGAUGGUUUUGAAACACUUUUUUUCUUUAAAUGAAAUACUAUUUAGCAGACGGCUAAAGUGCAAAAUAGUGAAACAUAAGGAAACAAUGGAAGCGGACAGAGUUUUCAAAUGAGUUGCCCACCACCUGACAACUAGCACUA
Molecule: long non-coding RNA, 1161 nt
Organism: Synchiropus splendidus (mandarinfish)
Lineage: Eukaryota; Metazoa; Chordata; Actinopteri; Syngnathiformes; Callionymidae
Exons: 3
Source: RefSeq, a predicted model, not a curated record